Ctenopharyngodon idella (grass carp) is the source of this 3990-nucleotide long non-coding RNA. RefSeq lists it as uncharacterized. NCBI's taxonomy places the organism in Eukaryota, Metazoa, Chordata, Actinopteri, Cypriniformes, Xenocyprididae. The record is from RefSeq and is a predicted model, not a curated record. The transcript has 4 exons.
UAAAUUCACAAUUAAAUAUCUAAUAUCCACCAAUACCGAUAUGAAUUACAAUAUCUGAUAACUGAUAUGGUACCGAUAAGCUGGGCAUCCCUACUUUUAACUCAUAACUUAUCAAUCAUAUUUUAGUAUCAAUAACCCCACUGAGCACACAAAAACUAAAACCAACAUGAUCACGCAUCUACAAGCCACAGAAAGUUGUGCUUUUUCAGAUCUGCCGAGAAAAAGGAAGUCGUCAUUUGGUGUUUCCACCAAACCUCUUCCAGUUCAGACCAAAUGCUGGCAAAGAGACGGACAACACGCAGACAUAGAAAAGACUGGCUAGCGUCACACAGGAGCAGGGCAUCCAUUAUGAAGACCACACAGGGCUCCAGACACUUCUCCAGUGAGAUAGACGCUAUCAGAGUGAGUGACAGGUGCUGGUUUUUCGUCCCAUCUCAUUCUCUGAUAGUACAGAUGAGCAAGCCUCCCGACACGUUCCAACUGUUUAUCAUCAGGCGGCUUGAUUUCCUCUUACAGAGAACAGAUGGCUUCCUUAACGGCUCUGUGCUCGCCUGUUUCAUCUUUAGUUCUCAGUGUAUCUCAGCACAGACGUUUCGAGAGAUCUGUGCCAGCACUGGAUUCGUCCUAAAGAAGAAAAAAUGGGAAAAUUAGCACCUUCAGUACUGUUAAAAAUACAUAUUAAUGCGACAGUAGUGGGACAGAAUAUAUAGGCUAUACCAGUUAUUUUUAUCAUAUUCAAAUAAUGCAGAUAAAAAGUGACAGUAAAGAAGUGACUAAAAUAAUAUGGAAAUGUGAAUUGAAAUUAUUUUAUUGUGAGAAGAAAGAGAGCGGAGAUUGAUCCUGUGUUUGACCAGUCAAGUAUUCCAGAGUGCCAUAUAGUAAAGGAUAACAUAUGACAUUAUGUCAGCUAAAGCAUUUGUCAAACUUCAAUCACAGUACUUAGGCUAAUGUCAACGUCAAUCCAUUAUGAAGUUUAUACUGGCCUCAGCUGUCUGCAAUGCAUUCAUGUAAGAAUGCUUGGAAGUACAGGCUAGCAUGCCAGCAAUGUGUAGCAGGACUUUGAAGUGUCAGCCUGGGUCAACAUAAACAACAGGUACUGCAGUAACAAACCUCAGAAACAGGUGGUCCGGUCAUGUCUGAAGCAAUACAUGCUGGUGGCCGCAUGAAAUGUUUCCGCUCAAGGACUGGAUCGAUGGGAUCAGUAGCUUUUGACCUAUUAAUCAAAGUAGCAGGUUUCCUGAACACUCCCCGCAUUUAUUGAAAAAAGUCAGUCGUGCAGGUUUGGAACGACAUGAGAUAUGGUUUGGCAUCUUUAAAAACUGGAACUUGAGAGUGGAAACCGUUCUGUACAUCUUUGGAGAGCAGACGACAGUCAUUGGCAUGUCAAAGGGCCAAGUGUUCACAUAUGGUCACAUAGCUGAACUAAUGGCUGACAGCCCUCAGCAAGGGCAUUAAAGUGACCCUGCCUCCAGGACAACACAAGCACGGACCAGCGCUCUGUAAACAGGGAUCCAGAAAUCUGUAAACAUACAAUUAGGCCAUUAAUGUUGCACAAUGGACUACUCACUCCUGAUAUCUCAACCACAAUAUAAAAAGGGUUUUCUUUAUUCCAAAGAACUUAAAAUACACAAUCAGAAAGUCCGCAAUUACGUGAACUAAAGAAAACAUAAAUCCAGUCUCUUGUAAUUUGUAUUUUUAUUUUAUUUACUUGUCAUUUCUUGUAAUUAUUUAUAAAAUUAGCUAUUUCUGAGUGAAAAUCCUACAGCAAACAUUUUUCAGUGUGGAAAAACAAACACUUGAACAUGAGUCAGCGUGAUAAGAGCUACCUAAAAUAACAGAAACCAUCUUCAGAAAAAAAUUAUUUGAUGUGUAAUUGGAUUUUUUUAGUUUUUUGGCUUGCAUCCCAUUCGACUCCAUGGAGAGGGCAGGGUUUAUGACCUAUACUGCAGCCAGCCACCAGGGGGCGAUCAAAAUGUUUUGGCUGCACAGCACACUUGGUACUCAACAAAAUUAUUCUAAAAAUGUUGCUAACUACUGUAUUUUUAUUGGCCUUACUUAGAUACUCAAGUAUUUGUUCAAAACCUGUUCAAAUGUUGUCCAAAUUCUGUCCAAAUUGAGUCAUCUGAACCAACACAAUCUCACAGGAAAACGUAACUAUUUUACAAGGUGGCGAUUUCGUAUGAAUUGUAUGGUUUUUAGAAAAAAGUAAUCAUGAAGGUCCUCCACCAACCCCAUCCCUAAACCUAACAGCCACUGGGGCAUAAGCAGAUUGUACGAAAACGCACGAAUGCAAUACGAAUUCAUACGAAUUUGGCACCAAUUCACCAAAACAUAAAAUAAUUACAAAUUGCCAUGAGAUUGUGUUGUCUGAACAAACAAUUUUAAAUUGAACCAUGUUUUGCAAGCUCCCAGCAUGCAUUGCAGCCUGAAAUAAUUAUUAAACUAUUAUUAAGCAGAUUGUGCGAAAAUGCACAAAUGCGAUUGUACGAAUUUGCCACCAAUUCGCCAAAACGUAAAAUAGUUACGAACUGGCAUGAGAUUGUGUUGUUUGAACAAACUAUUUUAAAUUGAACAUUUUGAAAGUUCCCAGCAUUCAUUGCAACUUGAAAUAAUUAUGUGAUAAGAUAACUAUUAUUAAACUCACAAAUGCAAUUGUACGAAUUCAUACGAAUUUGCCACCAAUUCGACAAAAUGUAAAAUAGUUACGAAUUGACAUGAGAUUGUGUUGUUUGAACAAACUAUUUUAAAUUGAACAUUUUGCAAGUACCCAGCAUGCAUUGUGUAUUUAUAUGUACAUCUAAUUGCAACUUUUAAUAUAUUUACCUGAAAUGCUAAACAAUCAUAAUUUCCCUUGACAAGAAUUUAUAAGUUCAUUAGAUGAACAAAAGUUAAGUAUUCAGUUGUUAGUUGCGUUAACAUAAUAAAUUGACUGUAAUAUGUUGCCUUUUUUAAAAAAAAAGUUAGGUCCCCUUUUUUUGUUUUACAGUGAUGUUAUCUGAGACAUAUCUCAAUCGUAGCAAAAACUAACAAACCUGUGGGAAAUCCUUCACAGAUCUGACAGUGUGAGAAAGUUAGCGCACAGAUUUGAAACAGACAGCUUACAAUGGACCUUAUCUGUAUUGAGUGUUUAUGAUAGAUAAGGUUUGGGGAAAAACCUGCCUGCAGUGACAGCCAUCAGACGGUCAGAGUGUUCUGAUAGAAAGCCUGGACACAUCUUGAGAUUGUUAACAAAUAGACUGCUUCAUACAGAUAAGCUCGACAGAGAUUCAGUACAAUCGCAGGGACGUUUUUUAACAUAUGAGACUAUUUGAAUACGCUAUAGGAUCAGCUUUGUUUGGUUUGAGUUCCAAGCAAGACCUUUUCAUAAUCAGCUUGUAUCAUCAGCUUGGCCUGAAUUAGUUUUUUGACAUCAGCAUGCAAUAUUAGUUUUCUAUUUAACUGUUACCUAUUUAAAUCUCUGUCAUGGUAAGGGCAAGAUUUGAAUAAUUCAAAUACAUUUGUACAGCACACGUAGAUGAUGGAAGAAGGACAUAGAAAGGCUUUCAUUUGAGAUGGAACAUUUUCAUUUCUAACCGCCUGAUAUACAGUAUUUUCUUUUGUUUUGCAUGUUCCGCUCUAAAAUUGGAAGUCAAAGAAGAAGUAAUUAUCCCUCUAAAUUGAGCCAUUUCACAUAAUUAUUUCUUGGAAUGUAAUGUUUUUUACUGAGCUACAAAGAACAUUGAAACUUGCCAUUUUAUUUGCCGUUUGUGUCGCAUAAUGGGUUUUCCCAUCAGCUCCAGACUGCGCUGGUUAAUUUGGGAAGAGGUCUUGUUCCCUCCGAGAGCACAAUUUAAUGAGGGAUAUCAUCCAACUGAGAGAAGUUAUAUUUAUUUAUAUAUUUUAUAUUUAUUAAUGUAUUUGUCUUUCAAGAUUUGUCAUUGUAUACACUUGAUACAAAUGAAGGAGGAAUGAUGGCCGUAAUUUUUGUAAUCAAAUAAAAUAUUAAAUUGA